AGCGCGGGGCAACCUGGCGGCGAGUGGCGAACGGGUGAGUAAUAUAUCGGAACGUACCCUGGAGUGGGGGAUAACGUAGCGAAAGUUACGCUAAUACCGCAUACGAUCUAAGGAUGAAAGUGGGGGAUCGCAAGACCUCAUGCUCCUGGAGCGGCCGAUAUCUGAUUAGCUAGUUGGCGGGGUAAAAGCCCACCAAGGCAACGAUCAGUAGCUGGUCUGAGAGGACGACCAGCCACACUGGAACUGAGACACGGUCCAGACUCCUACGGGAGGCAGCAGUGGGGAAUUUUGGACAAUGGGCGCAAGCCUGAUCCAGCAAUGCCGCGUGAGUGAAGAAGGCCUUCGGGUUGUAAAGCUCUUUUGUCAGGGAAGAAACGGUGGGGGCUAAUAUCCCCCGCUAAUGACGGUACCUGAAGAAUAAGCACCGGCUAACUACGUGCCAGCAGCCGCGGUAAUACGUAGGGUGCAAGCGUUAAUCGGAAUUACUGGGCGUAAAGCGUGCGCAGGCGGUUUUGUAAGUCUGUCGUGAAAUCCCCGGGCUCAACCUGGGAAUUGCGAUGGAGACUGCAAGGCUAGAGUUUGGCAGAGGGGGGUAGAAUUCCACGUGUAGCAGUGAAAUGCGUAGAUAUGUGGAGGAACACCGAUGGCGAAGGCAGCCCCCUGGGUCAAAACUGACGCUCAUGCACGAAAGCGUGGGGAGCAAACAGGAUUAGAUACCCUGGUAGUCCACGCCCUAAACGAUGUCUACUAGUUGUCGGGUCUUAAUUGACUUGGUAACGCAGCUAACGCGUGAAGUAGACCGCCUGGGGAGUACAGUCGC
Molecule: ribosomal RNA, 820 nt
Filed under: uncultured bacterium
Lineage: Bacteria
Description: bacterial SSU rRNA
Rfam family: Bacterial small subunit ribosomal RNA
Source: RNAcentral